AGUUCCUUAGUGUAGUGGUUAUCACGUUUCCUUUACAAAAUUUUCAAUCGGAAAAGGUCGUGGGUUCAAUCCCCACAGGGACUA
RNAcentral lists this transfer RNA (84 nucleotides) under Exophiala aquamarina CBS 119918. It matches the Rfam family "tRNA". From Rfam's summary of the family: Transfer RNA (tRNA) molecules are approximately 80 nucleotides in length. Their secondary structure includes four short double-helical elements and three loops (D, anti-codon, and T loops). Lineage: Eukaryota; Fungi; Ascomycota; Eurotiomycetes; Chaetothyriales; Herpotrichiellaceae. The record is from Rfam by way of RNAcentral.